CAAAGGGUAGUUUAAAUAAAAUAUUAAUUUUGGGGAUUAAUGAUAGGAAUGUAAUUCUUUCCUUUGA
Molecule: transfer RNA, 67 nt
Filed under: Conocephalus melaenus
Lineage: Eukaryota; Metazoa; Arthropoda; Insecta; Orthoptera; Tettigoniidae
Description: tRNA-Pro
Source: RNAcentral